Molecule: ribosomal RNA, 253 nt
Filed under: uncultured bacterium
Lineage: Bacteria
Description: partial 16S ribosomal RNA
Rfam family: Bacterial small subunit ribosomal RNA
Source: RNAcentral
UACGGGGGGGGCAAGCGUUGUUCGGAAUUACUGGGCGUAAAGGGUUUGUAGGUGGCUUGUUAAGUCAGACGUGAAAUCCCUCAGCUUAACUGGGGAACUGCGUCUGAUACUGGCGAGCUUGAGUGCAGGAGAGGAACGCGGAAUUCCAGGUGUAGCGGUGAAAUGCGUAGAUAUCUGGAGGAACACCGGUGGCGAAGGCGGCAUCCUGGACCGGUAUUGACGCUGAGGCGCGAAAGCCAGGGGAGCAAACGGG